This 216-nucleotide ribosomal RNA is filed under the name Glomeromycotina sp. Its description in RNAcentral is "partial small subunit ribosomal RNA". The stretch from base 46 to 216 matches the Rfam family "Eukaryotic small subunit ribosomal RNA", at positions 692 to 864 of the family's 1831-position model. The record is from RNAcentral. Lineage: Eukaryota; Fungi; Glomeromycota.
GGGUCAGUAGGUUGGUCGUGCCACCGGUACGUACUGGUCUCACCGAUUCCUCCUUCCUGAAGAACCGUAAUGCCAUUAAUUUGGUGUUGCGGGGAAACAGGACUGUUACUUUGAAAAAAUUAGAGUGUUUAAAGCAAGCUAACGCUUGAAUACAUUAGCAUGGAAUAGUGAAAUAGGACGAUCGAUCCUACUUUGUUGGUUUCUAGGAUUGACGUA